Long non-coding RNA from Salarias fasciatus (jewelled blenny), 1028 nucleotides. RefSeq lists it as uncharacterized. The record is from RefSeq and is a predicted model, not a curated record. Lineage: Eukaryota; Metazoa; Chordata; Actinopteri; Blenniiformes; Blenniidae. The transcript has 3 exons.
CUCCCCUCAGCCACUUUCACUUUGAUCCAACACGUGACUUCCCAGAAACCCAGAGUGUGUGUGUGUGUGUGUAUGUGUGUGUGUGUGUGUGUGUGUGUGUGUGUGUGUGUGUGUGUGUGUGUGUGUGUGUGUGUCCAGUGACCACGGUGGGAGUGUUAUGUUUAUUUAGUUAUUGUUUUAUUUAGGUAUUGAUUUAAAGUUAUUAUUAUUUGGACAGUUCACCUUUAUAUGGAAGCCCUAAACGGACAUGGUUGAACACUUUUUUAUUUCCUUCGUUUUCCCGUGUCAACGAGUUAAUUUCAGUGGUUUUCUCAAGAUCUCGAGUUAUUUUUCUCGUUAUCUCGAGAAAACGACAAUUUUGGCGGACCGGAAAUCACAUUCUCUCGCCAGACAGCGACGUCCUCCGCUGCUGCAGACCACAGACAGAGCUGCAUACACAAAAAUGGAGGAUCCAUUUCUUGCUGCCUUGAGGAACAGAGGGAUACCGGAAGCAAACCUUGAGAAAAUGUUGCGUGACAAGGUGGACAAAGAUGUUGCCAGGCUGAUGGAUGAGGAAACGUUGUCAAAAUAUCUUCAUCACUUUGGAGACUGCGUGUUUGCCAAAAACUGGACUGAAACACCCUCAGAAGAAGUUGGGAGCAAUGAAAAGAGGAAGAAGAUCCUUGUUGAACACAUACAAAAAAAAAUUAAACUCCCAAGCUCUGGCCAAGCAACAAGUUCUGCAAAUCAUCCUUACAAAGAUCUUGGUAAGGGAAACAAGAAUGCUGCAUGAAAAGCAAGAAAAAUAGAACUUGGUUGGAUGAAUUAUCAAAAUGGAUUUUUCAGGCAAGUUAGACGGCCCACUGGUGAGCGCACAAGAGAGGUCAUUGCCUUGAAAGAUGACGCUGUGAGCAAAAUCUUAGAGAAUGGGAAGGAAAUAUUCUUUCCCAAAGGAAAAUCUCCGAAAGGAAGAGUUGAGGACUUGGAUUUUACGCUUUGUAUUAUGGGCUCAGAGGAGCCCUUACAUAGCACUGAUACUAUUGGGAUGU